AGCAGCCGCGGUAAUUCCAGCUCCAAUAGCGUAUAUUAAAGUUGCUGCAGUUAAAAAGCUCGUAGUUGAAUUUCGGGACCAAUAUGUCGGUCGUGCCUCGGUACGUACUGGCAUCGUUGGUUUCUCCCUUCUGACGAACCAUGAUGUCAUUUAUUUGGUGUCGUGGGGAAUCAGGACUGUUACUUUGAAAAAAUUAGAGUGUUUAAAGCAGGCUCACGCUUGAAUACAUUAGCAUGGAAUAAUGAAAUAGGACGUUUGAUUCUAUUUUGUUGGUUUCUAGGAUCGACGUAAUGAUUAAUAGGGAUAGUUGGGGGCAUUAGUAUUCAAUUGUCAGAGGUGAAAUUCUUGGAUUUAUUGAAGACUAACUACUGCGAAAGCAUUUGCCAAGGAUGUUUUCAUUAAUCAAGAACGAAAGUUAGGGGAUCGAAGACGAUCAGAUACCGUCGUAGUCUUAACCAUAAACUAUGCCGACUAGGGAUCGGAUGAUGUUAAUUUUUUAAUGACUCAUUCGGCGCCUUACG
This 521-nucleotide ribosomal RNA is filed under the name uncultured Glomus. Its description in RNAcentral is "SSU rRNA". It matches the Rfam family "Eukaryotic small subunit ribosomal RNA", at positions 569 to 1092 of the family's 1831-position model. Lineage: Eukaryota; Fungi; Glomeromycota; Glomeromycetes; Glomerales; Glomeraceae. The record is from RNAcentral. RNAcentral also lists the same sequence under 1 other name.